AUGUGUGAGAAGGGGCUUGCAGGAGGGGAUCAACAGCUACACGAGAGACGAGAUCUAGCCUGGCUGGGCGACGGACAGUCUGCAGUACAGCUGACACAGCUGUAGCUGCCGGAAGACUAAUGAUCUCGCAUUCACGCCACAUAAACCACCCCUAGUGACUUCUUUAGUCUCCACCAGGUCAUGAUGGACACUAUUUGGCACGUACGUAUGGCAGCUGAGAUAUUCUUAGUGCUGGUUCCUGUUUCUGAAUACUGCUGGUGUGGAAGAUCAAAGG
This is a long non-coding RNA of Aquila chrysaetos chrysaetos, 274 nucleotides long. RefSeq lists it as uncharacterized. The transcript is spliced from 3 exons. NCBI's taxonomy places the organism in Eukaryota, Metazoa, Chordata, Aves, Accipitriformes, Accipitridae. The record is from RefSeq and is a predicted model, not a curated record.